GACGAACGCUGGCGGCGUGCCUAAUACAUGCAAGUAGAACGCACAGUUUAUACCGUAGCUUGCUACACCAUAAACUGUGAGUUGCGAACGGGUGAGUAACGCGUAGGUAACCUGCCUGGUAGCGGGGGAUAACUAUUGGAAACGAUAGCUAAUACCGCAUAAUAUUAAUUAUUGCAUGAUAAUUGAUUGAAAGAUGCAAUUGCAUCACUACCAGAUGGCCCUGCGUUGUAUUAGCUAGUAGGUGAGGUAACGGCUCACCUAGGCGAGGAUACAUAGCCGAACGGAGAGGGUGGUCGGCCGCACUGGGACGGAGACACGGCCCAGACUCCUAGGGGAGGCAGCAGUAGGGAAUCGUGGGCAAUGGACGAAAGUCUGACCGAGCAACGCCGCGUGAGUGAAGAAGGUUUUCGGAUCGUAAAGCUCGGUUGUAAGAGAAGAACGGGUGUGAGAGUGGAAAGUUCACACUGUGACGGUAUCUGACCAGAAAGGGACGGCUAACUACGUG
This 505-nucleotide ribosomal RNA is filed under the name uncultured bacterium. RNAcentral describes it as "partial 16S ribosomal RNA". It matches the Rfam family "Bacterial small subunit ribosomal RNA", at positions 28 to 507 of the family's 1533-position model. The record is from RNAcentral.